RNAcentral lists this ribosomal RNA (215 nucleotides) under uncultured Leptotrichia sp. RNAcentral describes it as "partial 16S ribosomal RNA". It matches the Rfam family "Bacterial small subunit ribosomal RNA", at positions 139 to 354 of the family's 1533-position model. The record is from RNAcentral. Lineage: Bacteria; Fusobacteriati; Fusobacteriota; Fusobacteriia; Fusobacteriales; Leptotrichiaceae.
CGGGAUAACAGAGGGAAACUUCUGAUAAUACUGGAUAAGUUAGUAUAUCGCAUGAUAUGCAAAUGAAAGCUACGGCACUAAAGGAGAGCUUUGCGUCCUAUUAGCUAGUUGGUAAGGUAAGAGCUUACCAAGGCGAUGAUAGGUAGCCGGCCUGAGAGGGUGGACGGCCACAAGGGGACUGAGAUACGGCCCUUACUCCUACGGGAGGCAGCAGA